This is a long non-coding RNA of Vicia villosa (hairy vetch), 1375 nucleotides long. RefSeq lists it as uncharacterized. The record is from RefSeq and is a predicted model, not a curated record. NCBI's taxonomy places the organism in Eukaryota, Viridiplantae, Streptophyta, Magnoliopsida, Fabales, Fabaceae. The transcript is spliced from 8 exons.
UUCCAACAUACAACUUCACUUGCCUCACUAUUCAGAUUGCAGCAACGCAACACACAAAACCCAUCAUCCAUCUGCAGCACAUCGACACAACCUUGUCCUUCAAGCAGAUUCAACAACAUCCACGGUGCAUCAACAACAGAAGCACAACCUACAGAUCCUCCAUCUUUAAUAUCAACUUUCAGCACUGAUUUCCUCCAAUUUUCAACGCAAUCGCAAACACCGACGCGAGCUUCACCUCACAGACCACAUCAUCAUCAUCGGCGAAAACGAAAACUGACACACACAACUGCAAUGAUUCGAGAACACAGGUGAGCUCAACGCAGCAACGACAUCGAUCAUCGUUAUCUGAUUCAAUCAUACCCAAGUUAUAAUGUCAUGUAUAAAACCCUCCAUAGUUAUUUCUUCAUUUGCAGUUUUGGCCAUUUUCAUGCUGUGCAUCUCAUCAUAUGUUGUCCUUACAAGUACAACUAUCCCUUAUCUGUUUGCGUUCAUCAAUGCUGCGAUAUCUUUUUUGGCUUUUAUCUUCGGUUAUAAUGAGGACGGUUUCAUGACCAACUAUUAUGUGAAAAGAGAGAAGACUAUUAUCAAGAAGGCAACCAUGUGUACCCGAGACUCAAAGUUCUGGAUGCAUAUAAAAGAGCAUUGACUACGUGGGCUAGAUGGAUUGACAACAAUGUUGAUCCAAAUCGAACACAUGUUUUCUUCAGAGGAUACUCAGUUACCCAUUUCAGACAUAUACGGGGAGCAUUUUAAUUGCUGUUAAUCCAUUCACAAAGCUUCCUCAUUUGUACAAUAACCACAUGAUGGAGCAGUAUAAGGGAGCUCCAUUUGGUGAACUCAAUCCACAUGUAUUCGUCGUUGCUGAUCCAUCGUACAGGGAUGAAAAUGGAUGAGGUGUGAUGAUAUCAUUGCGGAUGGUUCUGUUGCUCGUGUUACCGCGAAACUUGAAUUGAUGGAGCUUCAUGUUCUUAUAGGAAAACAACUGCUUUGGGAUCAUCUAAUCAUAUGGAUACACCUGUUCUUUUUUCGGGGAUGCUAAACUCUGUUCCUGAUCAAAAUCCUGAUUUCUUUAACUGGAACAAGGUGAAGAUACGCUAUUGUGAUGGUGCAUCCUUUGCUGGUCACCCAGAAACUGAGAAAGGAAGUGGGUUGUUCUUCAGAGGGAAGAUCAUAUGGGAAACAAUUAUGAAUGAACUCUUAUCAAUUGGCAUGUCGAAAGCGAAACAGGUGAGAAGCAAAAUCUACUAGAUCAAAUGCAAAUGGUUGAAGAGGAUAAGGAGAUAGAAAUGUUGCCAAAACAAAAGCCAAAGAAGAAGAAGAAGAAAAGUUAUAUAUGAAGAAAGUGUUAUGACUUAGUUAAAAUAUAAUUUUUAUG